RNAcentral lists this long non-coding RNA (2057 nucleotides) under Astyanax mexicanus (Mexican tetra). RNAcentral describes it as "lncRNA (ENSAMXG00005007453.1)". Lineage: Eukaryota; Metazoa; Chordata; Actinopteri; Characiformes; Acestrorhamphidae. The record is from RNAcentral.
GUAAACAGUAAAACAUGUUAAUCAUUGCUCUCUGCAAUAAAAAUUAAAGUCAAUGUAAAAUAUUUUUUUAUUCUGCAUCUGUGAUUGGUUGUUGUACAUUACUCCAGUCGGAACAGCAAGAAAUAAACGUCUGUUUAAAUUUAUUACAAAGCUUAUAAACAAUGAAUUAUGAAUUGUGUAUUUUGAGUUAUACUGUGGUGUAUAUACUCAGGUUUCAUAUAUUAAUCUACACAGUUGAGUUGUAUUGAUUGUGUAUUUGUACAGUAAUUGAGUUAGAGUGUAAGAGUGAGUAACGCUGGCUGUGUGUCUCUGUGCUGGUCAGUGGUGUGGGUUCAGUACUCGGCUGAUGGGACGAGGACACUUCGUGUUUGACCGGCGGUGGGACAGGAUGAGGCUCGCGCUGCACUGCAUGGUGGAGAAACACGUCAACGCCCAGAUGUGGAGGAAAGUCCCCCUGGUGGCCGACUGUGUGGUCAGCUCGUCCCCCCUGCGAUACCCCGCCAGCCCCACCCCUGCCCUCCCCCACGGACUGGACGGGGUUUCCGUGGUGUCGUACUCAACCCCCUUCUCUCACAACGGGACGGGGGUGUUCUGCAUCCGGGACCCGGACCCCGGCCCCGCCCCCAGGCUCCCUCAGACUAAAGCGGCUAAACCGGCGAGAACCGGUUUAGGAGAGGGGGUGGCGGCUAAAAGACGGAAGCCGCCUCCCACCUCCGAUACCACCGCAGCGUAUCGUAAGAACGGGAACGGCGGCUACCACCCGCCCCCAGGCCCCGCCCACAUCAGUAACGGGGCGGCGGCCCUGAGCGUACGGGCUAAGCCCCGGUCGGGGGACUCGGACCGGUACUCGGGCGCGGAGCUGCCCCUCCCCCCGGCGCUGACCGGGGACCACGGCGGCGUCUCGUCCCUCAGCCCGCUGCCCUGCGGCCCCGCCCACUCACGCAAACGCAGGACCUCGGGCCCCGGGGACCGGCCCGCCAAGAUCUCCAGGACCACAGGACUCGCCGGGAUCUUCAGAAAGAACAGCGCCGCCCUGCUGUCCUCCUCCACCUCCACCUCCACUUCCUCCUCCACGCCCGAGACAACGUCUCACAACUCCCUCUCCAGAGCGCCUAAAGUGCAUCACUGACAGCGAGUGAGAUGGAGAGAGAGAGUCGAGCAGCUUCACAGUGGAGUCCUUCCUCCACACCUCCACCUUCAUCCUUCCCAUUCCCUGACCACGCACCCCCCCAGCUCCCUCCCCCAGCUUCCUGCUUCACGAUCUUCAUGAUGAGGGUCUCCUGGAUUCUGAUCUGAGUUUAUGGAGGUUUAUGGAGGAGGGGGUUCAGCAGCAGUAGGUACCCACCCCUGACCCACUGACCCACUGCCCCCACGCCACCGUGUGCUGCAUCUAACCACUCUUCUGGAGGUGUGGAGCACCAUCACACGGAGGGAGGGAGGGAUGGAGAACAGGUGUGAAAAACAGCUGGUAAAAUGUUUAGUGACGCAUCAUGAAUCACACAUUCAGAUACGACUCCGCCUUUCAGGAACCGCUGUGGAUUUUUAUUUUUUACUUUUACAUUUAGUUUAUUUUUGUUUUGUUUAAACAUCAGCGGUUUAUUCUGAUCUGGAUUAUAAUGAUCUGGAUUAUGAUGAUCUGGUUUAUGAUGAUCUGGUUUAUGAUGAUCUGGAUAAUUAUGAUCUGGAUUAUGAUUAUUUGGAUUAUGAUGAUUUGGAUUAUGAUGAUCUGGUUUAUGAUGAACUGGUUUAUGAUGAACUGGUUUAUGAUGAUCUGGUUUAUGAUGAUCUGGAUUAUGAUGAUCUGGAUUAUUAUGAACUGGUUUAUGAUGAUCUGGAUUAUGAUGAUCUGGAUUAUUCUGACCUGGAUUAUGAUGAUCUGGUUUAUUCUGAUCUGGAUUAUUCUGAUCUGGAUUAUUCUGAUCUGGAUUAUAAUGAUCUGGUUUAUGGAUUCUGGAAGUUUCUGAUCUAAAGUGCACUUAAAGCUCCAUCACGCCUGGACUUCAGGCUCCUGAGGGAAUCAGAAUAAAGUUUCAUUAAGGGAAAAUUUUAUAAAAAGU